CCUACGGGAGGCAGCAGUGGGGGAUAUUGCACAAUGGGGGAAACCCUGAUGCAGCGACGCCGCGUGGGUGAAGAAGCGCCUCGGCGCGUAAAGCUCUGUCAGCAGGGAAGAAAAUGACGGUACCUGAAGAAGAAGCCCCGGCUAACUACGUGCCAGCAGCCGCGGUAAUACGUAGGGGGCAAGCGUUAUCCGGAUUUACUGGGUGUAAAGGGGGCGCAGACGGCGAGGCAAGCCAGGAGUGAAAGGCCGGGGCCCAACCCCGGGACUGCUCUUGAAACUGCGUGGCUAGAGUGCAGGAGGGGCAGGCGGAAUUCCUGGUGUAGCGGUGAAAUGCGUAGAUAUCAGGAGGAACACCGGUGGCGAAGGCGGCCUGCUGGACUGCAACUGACGUUGAGGCCCGAAAGCGUGGGGAGCAAACAGGAUUAGAUACCCCUGUAGUC
This 440-nucleotide ribosomal RNA is filed under the name uncultured bacterium. RNAcentral describes it as "partial 16S ribosomal RNA". It matches the Rfam family "Bacterial small subunit ribosomal RNA", at positions 338 to 795 of the family's 1533-position model. The record is from RNAcentral.